This 120-nucleotide ribosomal RNA is filed under the name Colwellia demingiae. Its description in RNAcentral is "partial 23S ribosomal RNA". The stretch from base 1 to 103 matches the Rfam family "Bacterial large subunit ribosomal RNA", at positions 2823 to 2925 of the family's 2925-position model. The record is from RNAcentral. Lineage: Bacteria; Pseudomonadati; Pseudomonadota; Gammaproteobacteria; Alteromonadales; Colwelliaceae.
UCCCCUAAAGGGUCGUUGGAGACUACAACGUUGAUAGGUCAGGUGUGUAAGUGCUGCGAGGCAUUGAGCUAACUGAUACUAAUUACCCGUGAGGCUUAACCAUACAACACCCAAGUAGUU